This 482-nucleotide ribosomal RNA is filed under the name uncultured bacterium. RNAcentral describes it as "partial 16S ribosomal RNA". It matches the Rfam family "Bacterial small subunit ribosomal RNA", at positions 28 to 523 of the family's 1533-position model. The record is from RNAcentral.
GACGAACGCUGGCGGCGUGCUUAACACAUGCAAGUCGAACGAUGAAGAAGAGCUUGCUCUUCGGAUUAGUGGCGAACGGGUGAGUAACACGUGACUAACCUGCCCCUUUCUCUGGGAUAACGCUCCGAAAGGAGUGCUAAUACCGGAUACUCACAUCGAGGCACAUGCCUUGAUGUGGAAAGUUUUUCGGAAAGGGAGGGAGUCGCGGCCUAUCAGCUUGUUGGUGAGGUAACGGCUCACCAAGGCGACGACGGGUAGCCGGCCUGAGAGGGCGACCGGCCACGCUGGGACUGAGACACGGCCCAGACUCCGACGGGAGGCAGCAGUGGGGAAUAUUGCACAAUGGGCGAAAGCCUGAUGCAGCGACGCCGCGUGAGGGAUGAAGGUCUUCGGAUUGUAAACCUCUUUCAGUAGGGACGAAGCGAGAGUGACGGUACCUAAAGAAGAAGCACCGGCUAACUACGUGCCAGCCGCCGCGGUAA